Molecule: ribosomal RNA, 316 nt
Filed under: Ocyptamus rubricosus
Lineage: Eukaryota; Metazoa; Arthropoda; Insecta; Diptera; Syrphidae
Description: partial 12S ribosomal RNA
Source: RNAcentral
UUAAAAAGUAAAUAAAUUUAUUUGAGUAGUAUUAGUUAUAUUCUUGAAACUAAAAAAAUUUGGCGGUAUUUUAGUCUAUUCAGAGGAACUUGUUUUUUAAUCGAUAAUCCACGAUGUACCUUACUUAAAAUUGUUAAUCAAUCUAUAUAUCGUUGUUAUUAGAAUAUUUUAUAAGAAUAAUAAUUUUCUAUAAUUUUUAUUAAAAUUAAUAUCAAAUCAAGGUGUAGUUUAUUUUUAAGUAUAAAUGAGUUACAAUAAAAUAUAUUUAUGAAUUUAAAUAUGAAAAAUUUAAUGAAAUUGGAUUUGAUAGUAAAAU